RNAcentral lists this unclassified non-coding RNA (443 nucleotides) under Hevea brasiliensis (rubber tree). Lineage: Eukaryota; Viridiplantae; Streptophyta; Magnoliopsida; Malpighiales; Euphorbiaceae. The record is from RNAcentral.
GUAUGCUGCUCAGACAUCUUGUAUAUCUAGGUGGCUAGGUUGCAUUUGUAUUUGACAACAUGCUACUCUAUAUAAAUGUGAGUAAAUCAACUUGCCUGCAAAACUGCCUACGGAAAGAGGCAAUACCUGCAUUGUUAGCAAUAACUCGAGUAUGGCUUUGGUUUUGAUAAAAAUCUCUCAUCACGGAAAGUUUUCUUUUUCUGCAAUUCUGUUAUGUGCAUUAAUUUUUAUGUUGCAUAUGAUGUGCAAAUAGAGGUUUUCAUCAACAUCAAACUAGAUGUGUCUCGCAGAACCUCUGCUCCGUUACUUUCUCUGGGGGAUGUAUGUGCUUAAUAAAAAAUUACUGAAUCAUAUUUUUAUUUUUGUCAGUUGCCUCAUACAACUUGUUUUAUUAUUUUGUUUAUAUUGUCUUGAUUUCAGGAAAAUCAUCAAAGAGGUUAGCA